This is a non-coding RNA of Ictidomys tridecemlineatus (thirteen-lined ground squirrel), 839 nucleotides long. The record is from RefSeq and is a predicted model, not a curated record. Lineage: Eukaryota; Metazoa; Chordata; Mammalia; Rodentia; Sciuridae.
GUGGUGCUGCCUCCUCUUCUUGCCCAUUCCCCAAUGACAGGAUUCCUUUGUGAUGAGAAGGCACAGCUCUGUGACAUAGGCCUGGGUACCAUUCCCCAUUCCUGAAGAGAAUUCUCAGGACUUAUUUGUCCAAGUGACACAGUGAAAUUCAGAUGAGGGAGAAUCCUCUCUUUCCUCUAAAUAGUGUUAAUGCCACAUGGCUGAAACCCAGUUUCAUCACCUGGGCAAUGGAUAUGAUCCUUGCCUUUGCAUGUGGCCUGGGGAUCUUUCUCCUUUUUUUUUUUUUUUUUGGCCCCACCUGCAGGGUAAUCCAUCCUUCCCACUACCAAGGAAAAAAGAAAAAGGAAGGGUUUCCAUUAGCUAACUGUAGAAGUCCUGCUGUUCAGAAACAUGGAAUAUCUACAACUGGUCAAGGAGAGCAUAGAGAGAAAUGGGCCUCAGCCUCUUUUUCUAUAUCGUCUGUCAGCAUGUGAAGGUGAAGAAAGUGCUGUACUAGAGGAGGAAGAAGAGUGGACCUCUGAAAGCUUUGGGAAAUCACCUGAAGACAAUCUGAUGGAGAUUCAGAAUCUGACUUUACUCCUGCAAAGAACAGAUAACCUGACAUUUGGUGGAGUACCCAGGACUAGGGAACUCUGGCUGUGACUCAGUCUGGGGACUUUUACACAAAUACAUGGCCUUAGCACUGCUUCCAUGGACAAACCUCUAGGGUGGACCCAGCAACAAGAAUGGAGCUUGGAACAAGAAGGACUGGAAAGGAUCUGGAGUCUUUAGCCUAUCAUUGCUGGAUUAUCUCAGGGAUGCAAACUGUAACUUACAGGAAUAAAGGGGCUGAACAUGAA